CCCUUAGACGUUCGGGGCCGCACGCGCGCUACACUGAAGGAAUCAGCACGUCUUUCUCCUUGUCCGAAAGGACUGGGUAACCCGCUGAACCUCCUUCGUGCUAGGGAUUGGGGCUUGUAAUUCUUCCCCAUGAACGAGGAAUUCCCAGUAAGCGCGAGCCAUAAGCUCGCGUUGAUUACGUCCCUGCCCUUUGUACACACCGCCCGUCGCUACUACCGAUUGGAUGGUUUAGUGAGAUCCUCGGAUUGGUCCCGGCGCGGCCUCUGGUCGUGCCGGAGUGCCGAAAAGAAUGUCGAACUUGAUCAUCUAGAGGAAGUAAAAGGCGUAACA
RNAcentral lists this ribosomal RNA (330 nucleotides) under uncultured eukaryote. Its description in RNAcentral is "partial 18S ribosomal RNA". It matches the Rfam family "Eukaryotic small subunit ribosomal RNA", at positions 1470 to 1796 of the family's 1831-position model. The record is from RNAcentral.